RNAcentral lists this ribosomal RNA (491 nucleotides) under uncultured bacterium. RNAcentral's name for it is "bacterial SSU rRNA". It matches the Rfam family "Bacterial small subunit ribosomal RNA", at positions 28 to 520 of the family's 1533-position model. The record is from RNAcentral.
GAUGAACGCUAGCGGCAGGCUUAACACAUGCAAGUCGAGGGGUAGGUUACUUCGGUAAUUGAGACCGGCGCACGGGUGCGUAACGCGUAUACAAUCUACCUUUUACAGAGGGAUAGCCCAGAGAAAUUUGGAUUAAUACCUCAUAGUAUUUUUGAAUCGCAUGAUUUGAUUAUUAAAGUUCCAACGGUAAAAGAUGAGUAUGCGUCCCAUUAGCUAGAUGGUAAGGUAACGGCUUACCAUGGCUACGAUGGGUAGGGGUCCUGAGAGGGAGAUCCCCCACACUGGUAUUGAGACACGGACCAGACUCCUACGGGAGGCAGCAGUGAGGAAUAUUGGACAAUGGGCGCAAGCCUGAUCCAGCCAUGCCGCGUGCAGGAAGAAGGUCCUAUGGAUUGUAAACUGCUUUUAUACAGGAAGAAACACCUCUACGUGUAGAGACUUGACGGUACUGUAUGAAUAAGGACCGGCUAACUCCGUGCCAGCAGCCGCGG